AUGUUGAAAUCCAGAGACAAGAUAACUUCAUUCUUUUUUUUGAUGCAAAAACAGUAUGAUUUUAUAUAUAUAUAUAUAUAUAUAUGUAUGUAUGUAUAUGUUAAUAUUUUAUUGAAGCCAUUGAUGUCCCUUUUUGUAGAUGUUAAAAGCAAGAGACAUGGGAGAGCAUCAUUCCUUUGAGAUUUUAUGUAAGUUAUUUUUAGAAAAUACAUUUUUCUGUUGUCUCCUGCCGGUUUACUUCACAUUUUGAUGCAACAACAGUAUGAUUACAUGCUCAUUUCAUUAAGACCAUUGAUGUCUGUGUUUUUUAUUGCAGAAAUCAAACCAACUUUGGAGUUGUCUUGUCUGAUUUGGAGAGUCAUUAUUCUUGGUCUUCGCUCUUAGAGGUAAAGUUCACACAAAAAAUCAUUUACUUGCCCUCAAGUCAUUCCAAACCUAUAAGACUUUUGUCUGUCUUUACAACAUAAAUAAAUAUAUUUUUAGUUUUCUCAUAAUAUUUGUUAAUCCAUUUAUAGUUUAGAUAAUCAGUAUUUUCAAGCUUCAUAAAUAUAGAGUUAUUGUAGAAGUAAAUUCUGAUAUUUAUAUAUGAAUACAUCUUAAAUUAUAUGAUAGCAAACAUGUAUGUUCAAAAUAAAAUACUGGUCUCCCAGACCAGCAAUGGAGGACACAAAAAGAGAAUAUUAAAUAUAUUCAUACGUUUUCCAAAAAAUUAGCAGAUUUUGUAUGAGUCUGGAAAAACAUGAGGAGAGUAAAUUAUAAACAUUUUAAUUAUUUGGUGAACUAACAGUUUGAAGAGCAGCCCUCCAUCUACAUGAAUAUUGUGAGGUAUGUGAAUGUCAUGUCUGUUUUAAUGUUUCAGUAAAGAAGCUGCCCUCACAGUAGUGGUGCCAUUAUAGCCUCCUGGAGCGCUGUGGUGGACUGAGACAUUAAACAACCGCACAAAGUGUUAAAACUUUAAAACCGAUUAUUUACCUAUCCUUACGGAUGUGAAUACACCUCUACCUGAAAAUGGAUAGUUUAAUUAAAUGUUUAAUUUUUUCAAAUGUGUUUCUCUUAGGCCACUGAUGAAGAGCAGGCAGUGACUGGAUGAAUGCUGGUCAGAGAGGAGAAUCUUCUUUCCCCUAAACUGAUGCAGCGGUGGUUUUAAAGGAGGACGCUGCCCUGGAUGAUGUAGAAGAUGUCAGAUGCUGUGCUGAUGGGGUUUCUUCAUGAUAACAUCAGUUAUGCUAAAGAGAUCAUGAAAAUUGACCGUGAUGCAUGAUCUGUAUUCAUGGACUAUGAAACAAACUGUAAGUGUAUAAUUUGUUAAAAAAAAAAAAAGUUAAAUGCUUUUUCUGUGUUGUUUAGUAGAAGAGUUUACACUCUGUCAUUCAUACACCUGCUCACAUUCUUUCACUCACACACACACACACACGCGCGCGUCUGUUAAAUGUUAUAAUAUCAAAGUUAAUGUUGUGAUUUAUUUGUGUACUGUCAUGCCAGAAUAGUUAAAUUUAAAUAUGUAAAUUUAUUGUAUGUGUUUUUGUAUAUUUUUAUACAAUAUAUACAAUUGAACAAAGUCCAAUUUGAUCUUAAGUUAUAUUCAUCAAAUGUUCAAUGCUUUGUUUAUGAACUCCGUAGCUGUUAAUGCCAUCCUUUUCUGCAUUUCUUCUAACAUUGUUACUUUUUGACUUUUCUCUUGUUUUUAAUAAAUAUUUUCCUUUUGAUAAUUAUUAUUUGUGUGUAAAAGUGAUAUUUAAAAUGAACAACAUUUGUAGGUUUAAUGCCUAGCUCAAUUUGGGUUAAUUUGAACGUAGAAAUGCAUUGUUUCCCCACAUGGCUGCACUCUGCGAGUUUAUUUUCUGCCAGCAGGAGGCGCUAAGAGCGGGAGAGGUAGGUUUCUCCGGUAACGGCUGCAGAGCGGUACUGAGCUCACAAACGCUGCCUUAUCAAGCACAUGCGAAAUGAUAUCGAACAUUUUCUAAAUACAGUAGUUUUCCUUCUGAAAUACAGUGAUAAAAAAACACCCGCUCUGUUUUUUUAAACCCUGCAAUAUAGUCAUUUUAAACCAUAAAAAAGGCAACCCAGCAGGCUGGGUUAAAUAUGAUAACCCACCUGGUUGGGUUAAAACAACCCAGCGCUGGGUUCGUCCCUUUUUGACCCAGCGCUGGGUUGUCAAAAUAACCCAAAUUGGGUUGUUUUCAACCCAGCAGUUUUUAGAGUGUAUAUAUAUAUAUAUAUAUAUAUAUAUAUAUAUAUAUAUAUAUAAUAUAAAAUAUUAUAUAUAUAUAUAUAUAUAUAUAUAUAUAUAUA
Molecule: long non-coding RNA, 2292 nt
Filed under: Carassius auratus (goldfish)
Lineage: Eukaryota; Metazoa; Chordata; Actinopteri; Cypriniformes; Cyprinidae
Description: lncRNA (ENSCARG00000047649.1)
Source: RNAcentral